Unclassified non-coding RNA from Pongo abelii (Sumatran orangutan), 148 nucleotides. It matches the Rfam family "Metazoan signal recognition particle RNA". From Rfam's summary of the family: The signal recognition particle (SRP) is a universally conserved ribonucleoprotein. It is involved in the co-translational targeting of proteins to membranes. The record is from Ensembl. NCBI's taxonomy places the organism in Eukaryota, Metazoa, Chordata, Mammalia, Primates, Hominidae.
GCCGGGUGUGGUGGUGCAUGCCUGUAAUCCCAGAUACUUGGGAGGCCGAGGCAGGAGAAUUGCUUGAACCUGGGAGGCAGAGGUUGCAGUGCGCCGAGAUCGCGCCACUGCACUCCAGCCUGGGUGACAGAGUGAGACUCUGUCUCAA